This 92-nucleotide non-coding RNA is filed under the name Litchfieldella anticariensis. Its description in RNAcentral is "Halomonas anticariensis SAH sequence". It matches the Rfam family "SAH (S-adenosyl-L-homocysteine) riboswitch aptamer". The record is from RNAcentral. RNAcentral also lists the same sequence under 1 other name. Lineage: Bacteria; Pseudomonadati; Pseudomonadota; Gammaproteobacteria; Oceanospirillales; Halomonadaceae.
CUGUCCGAGGGGCGCUGCAGCACCCGGUGACGAUCGUAGACGGGUGCGAGGCUCGGACAGACGCUGUGCAUAGGCAACGGCGCCCAUUCCCC